This is a long non-coding RNA of Xiphophorus hellerii (green swordtail), 890 nucleotides long. RefSeq lists it as uncharacterized. The record is from RefSeq and is a predicted model, not a curated record. Lineage: Eukaryota; Metazoa; Chordata; Actinopteri; Cyprinodontiformes; Poeciliidae. The transcript has 2 exons.
ACCUGUAUAAAUGUGAGAAUGGGUGAGAAUAUGAAUGACUCUAGUGUAAAGCGCUUUGAGUGGUCAAAAUUACUGGAAAACUGCUAGACAAGUUCAGUCCAUUUACCAUUUGAACACAACGAGUUUUGCUUGCCAUUCUUUGGCGUCAAAUUUAUUUGACGAUGUAAGACGUGUUCCUAUUGGUUAGCGCUGACUAAAGCGGAUGACGAACGAUGUAAGACGUGUUCCUAUUGGUUAGCGCUGACUAAAGCGGAUGACGAACGAUGUAAGACGUGUUCCUAUUGGUUAGCGCUGACUAAAGCGGAUGACGAACGAUGUAAGACGUGUUCCUAUUGGUUAGCGCUGACUAAAGCGGAUGCCUCCGACUCCCUGAGAUCUCAGAGCUCUGUCCGAACUGCUUCGCUUCGGUGACGGGACACAGGAUGUGACUGAAUGGUUUGCGUCAUAAAGCUUCUUGAUGCGUUUCUGAGCCAUGAUUGAGACGCUGUAUGAUGUUCAACCAGGACAGGUUGAACCCCUGAGACCUUCCUGAGGUUAAAUGACCUUUCCCUUGGAUCCAAACACCUGGACCUGCUGACCACUACCGUCCAUCGGUCAGCUGGAUCGUCACAGUGUUGACUAACUUUUUAUUUACAGUAAAUUAGGAUCUGGAAACCGGAGGACCAGACAUGCAAAAAUCUACCUGCAGACUUUAACGCUGCAGUGAUCCUGCACUGAGCUGAUCUGCUGCUCUUCUCCUCCACAGUGACGAGUUUUCAUCACCAGUAAAGACAAACAAAUCUGACAUCUGAGUAACUGCUGGGAAGUUUAUUAAAUAUUCACUGUUCAUUUUGUUAUCCUGUUGGUACUUAUAAUAAAAUUUAAUCUCUUUUGUAAUAUUCUGCCCAAUA